AAAAUAAUUUGACAUACAACUGAACACAUAUCUUCACACAGAAAUAUUAAAAAUGGAGCAACACGACAACAAUAAAAAUUGUACUUAGACAGGAUACGUGAUUCAUGCUUUCCUAGUGCAGCUAUCGGGAUGGAAUGGUUAUAAGUAAAACUCCGUUUAAAAUUCGUAUUCAAUAAUAUGUCACAAUGGAUGACAGGUCAUGAUAUUGCCAC
RNAcentral lists this long non-coding RNA (212 nucleotides) under Mytilus galloprovincialis (Mediterranean mussel). The record is from RNAcentral. Lineage: Eukaryota; Metazoa; Mollusca; Bivalvia; Mytilida; Mytilidae.